CCUGAAGAUUUUUUUUUUGCAAGACUUGAAUAAGAAAAGGAUUAAAGCCUUGUUGGAUUAAGAAUUUAUUUAUAGCUAACUGCAGAUGGGCAAACUAACUUUUACAAAAUGACCUUCGUUCAAGUUUACAAUAAGUGUAAUCAGUCAUUGUUUUUUCAUUUAUGCCAUAGUGAAGGACUGAUAGGUAUAAGGUAAGUCCUUAUUGUAAAUUCUAUUCAUUCUGCCUACUAUCUUAACUACAUGCAUGUUUAUCCGUGAGAAGGCAUGACAACGCCAACCUUAUCUGCGCUGUUUCUAUAGUAAUCAUGAUGCAGUACUACACUAUCCAUUAUCCUAAAGCAAGACUGAUCAACCAUGGAAAAACCAUGGAAAUGGAGCUGAACCAUUAUCACACACUUGUUUCAAAAGUGUCCAUAUAUGAAAUUCUGCCCUGUGACUGCAACACUAUAGUGUGUCUUGUGUUACUUUUUUACUUUGUACCGAAUUUGACUGCUUAACACAACGUGGUAAUACGUUUUGAAGAGUAAGGUCAAAGUCAUAUGUUCAGUAGUGCUGAUUCUACAGACGACGUUGUCUACUGUGCGGCUCUAAACACAAGGAUGCACAGGUAUGUGAACUCAGUGUAUCAUGUGGCCAGAUUCAGAUAAACGGAGAACAUUGUGGUAGUCCUUGAGUAUAUUUCAGCAGCAUGAUAUAAUUAUAGCUGUGUAUGUUGACAUUCUCACAGUAUGCCAAUAGGAGUGUGAUUGAGUUGACUCACAAUUGUACUCUCAUCUUCCAGGAUUGUUCUGUUGCCAGUGGGAAGCCAUGUACGGUCACAGAAACUCUCACGCAUAUUUUUCACAAUUUACUUAUUUCCAGAGGUGGUGAGGCUGCAUGAUUACCAGCUGAGAUAUUACUUCCAGAUGUGUUUUCUUCAACGAGGAUCAGAUAAGCAUCAGAUCACCAAGUCUGCUAUUUGUACCAGAAGCACUACUUUGCUUGAAAGAUACAUAGAGAGUUACACUAAAGCAAACAGACAUGGAGGACAAGCUUAGGUCUUGGACUUAAGGAAUCUAUUAGGUAUAUAGAUCUGAAGGUAACUAAUUAAGAGAUUAGUACAGGUUUUAUUUGGGAUGGACUUAAAAGGGAUGAAGGGGUAAAAGCAGAGGGAGUUGGCUCACUGCUUCAAUACCUUAAUGGCACAAUGCUUAGAUCAUUAGAGAGAAUUUGUACUCAGAACUUCUACAGCAAGAAUUAUAACUGAACUGAUGAGGAACAAGGCUUCUGUAGUCCUGGUCAAAACAAACUAUAUUGACAAAUACAGUGCAAAUCUUUUAAUCAUGUUUCUACAUUACUUCGAUGACCUGAUCAACAUGAAGUCAAAGGUGGUCAAGUGACAGUUGAAAAUGUUGAUUCUGGAACUGAGAGUGCACAGCAUGGAAGCUCAUGUCCGUCAACAGAGCCUUCUCUAUAGCUCUAUCAAUUGUCAACCUUCCUUGGAUGGAAGAUCCUAUGUCUACACCAGCAUCUGGGAGGUUUUUCUUGGCUGAUAAUGGCCCAGAAGUUGAACAUCAGUGGAUGACAGCCUCUGUUAACUGGCAUGCAUGGCCCAUAGGCUUUAAACUAGCUGAGUGAUAUUGGACAGUAAAGUGCAACCCGCUAGGCAGUGAUACUUCAGCUCCAUGCUCGCUGCUGUAAGUGAUGAGGUCAACAUAGAGAAGAUGGUAACCAGAGGAUGAGCAGAAGUUUCGUGAGGAGGACGUGGUUUAGAUAUGUGUGGGGACCAAAAACUCCAAUGAUCAUAAUAAAAUGUUGUUAUUUUAAUACUGUGGGAACAUUUGGCUGAUGUCGGUUAAAACCACAAUGAUCAUAGUAACACGCUGUUAUUUUGAUACUGUGGGGAUAUUUGGCUGAUGUCAGUUAAAGCCAGGUGAACACUGUGAGAUCUUUAAUAGUCCUUUGCGACUGUUGCUUGUCAGACUGUACGAUCUUGAUCCUCGCUGUAAGCCAUGUCACACUGUAGGAUCUCAGCUGUCAUUAAUGUCAGACUGUGUGACCAGUCAAGACGUGAAAAACGGACACACGCAAGAAAACUAAUACGGAGUAGGACAAGCCACACUACAGGACUGUGCCUCAAAUCUUCUGACACUGCCAGAAUUUAAUCGGAGGAAAAAUUUGAUGGGGUACGUGUCAAACUAGCGAUCAAAGACUACAGAUUUUGGCCUAGGAUUAUAGGAAUCUUUUAGGAUUCUCAAAAUUUGUCUCAGACGACCAAGUCAUGACUAAAAUCGUACAGUGUGAACCGGGCUUAAAAUAAUGGCUUAAAAAGUGGUGAAAGAUUUGAGUAUUGAGACGACUUUUAAUUUUUACUUGCCAACUAGUAAUCAAAACUGUUAAAUCAAAACUGAUUCGGAAAAUCAAUAUUUUCGAGUAUUUAUAAGGCAGGUAAGUGCUGAUAACCUGCCAAAGCACACUUUAUUAACAGCCACAUACAAGCUACAAAUUACAGCAUACAGUAUUUUCAGCUUUGAUGCUUUUUAGGCUACACUGUUAACUCCAAAAACAAAUAAAUCAGUGCUCUAAAUGUACAAAAUAAUACAACCCUGUACCAUACUAUACUAUUUAAGGAUGCACUAAUUCUUAAAAUGCACUUAUGUACCCAAUCUGGUGGUCAAGUGACAGUUGAAAAUGUUGAUUCUGGAACUGAGAGUGCACAGCAUGGAAGCUCAUGUCCGUCAACAGAGCCUUCUCUAUAGCUCUAUCAAUUGUCAACCUUCCUUGGAUGGAAGAUCCUAUGUCUACACCAGCAUCUGGGAGGUUUUUCUUGGCUGAAAAUGGCCCAGAAGUUGAACAUCACCGGAUGACAGCCUCUGUUAACUGGCAUGCAUGGCCCAUAGGCUUUAAACUAGCUGAGUGAUACUGGACAAUAAAGUGCAACCCGCUACAUGAAGUGCCCUCUUUCAAAUUUACAACAAAAAUAACACCAGGUGGCAUUAAUUCAAGGGGAAAAUCCAAUUCAUGUCUUGCACAGUGUGCUGUUGACUAGAAUUUAUUUAAUCUAUAUUAAUUUUUUUAAAACUAACAAAGCACAUUUUGCCUGCUGUCUUUACCUCAUUGGGUUUUUUUUCCACCACCCCGACUACUGAAUAUACUACUUACUGACUAGAUGGGGGACAUUUUUGUUUUCUUCCUCGUCUCGACCUAUACCUCUCAUUUGAAGGAAAAAAAAAGCUCAGUUUCAGGUCUGCUGUGAGCUGAGAAACAGACAAAUGUGGACAAACUGGGGUGUCACUAAUAAUCCGAAACUCUGAUCUUCUAGUUAUUGUCAGAAAUUCUAAUGGUUUUUAUCACUCAGAAUAGUCAAGAACUGAUGACUUUUACAGAAAGAAAUCAUUUGACUAAUAUUGCCAACCAAACCAAAGUGGUGUGUAGUAGGAGGCAAUUGUGAAAACAUUAUAAAACACUUUUUUUUUUUCUCCAAAUGAAGUGAUUAUAUCUUGCUUAGUAAAGGUUAUAGGGUGUUUCUUUCCCACAUUAGACUGAUAAAAAUCUUUGCAUGCAAAUGUGAACCAUGCUCCACCAGCGUUCACACAUUUAAGCAUUUAUUUUGUUUUGGACCAGGUUGUAUACACAACCCUGCAAUUGUUGUUGGAGUGUCUGUCUUUUAGCUAUUUUUUGGAAUAAUGCUCAGUUAUUAUUUUAACAAUAUACUGAAAUUAUUAUUUCCAUUCCUUAUGAUGUUUAGAAGUGAAUUAAAAUUAUUUCCACUCGGAUGGUAUUCGUUAGUAUAGUAAGCCAGAUUUUGUUCUAUUGUGACUGGUGUGCAGUGUAUUGAUCUGACACAGCUUUUUAUUCAAAUGCAUUCGAUGCAUUACAGGGAACUUGACAUAAACCAUUAGGCGUAGUUAAAGAUUUAUUUAGUAUGUGUAGUAAUACAUAAGCCAGUAGAAACUCCCCACGAAGAUAGUAAUACAGCUGUGUGUGUGUGUGUGUGUGUGUGUGUGUGUGUGUGUGUGUGUGUGUGUGUGUGUGUGUGUGUGUGUGUGUGUGUGUGUGUGUGUGUGUGUGUGUGUGUGUGUGUGUGUGUGUGUGUGUGAAUCCAUAAAGGAGAGUGUUGUGGAGUGUGUAAUUUGUAUUAAAACAUAUGCAGUCUCAAAGGAUAUCCCAUUUGUUGUUCUAUUCCCCAAACAGAUGCCAUAAUUGAAUAUUUUGUCUAAGUGCUUUUGACUUUGGCUCUUCAGCAAGUUUGUAGUAACUCCCGAGAACUGUGUGUUCUUUGUCUAUUAGUAUAAUGUUUUGAAUCUCAUUUAGUACUUUGUAGUGAGGGCAUAAAUUAAUGCAGAGGGUGUGAAGGUCAUGGCCUUUCUUCAUUAACCCUUUAGCCCCAUACUGACAGCCCCAGAGUUCAAUUCUGCUCUCUCGUACAGACUUCCAGACUUCUCCUAUUAGAUUCACUGUUCCUAAAUAAUUCAUAGUAGUUACUGAAUAAUGUAAAAUAAAAAUUAAUAAAGGGGUUGCACAGCUCCGGGGUUGGGGGUUUGAAUCCCGCCUCCACCCUGUGUGCACGGAGUUUGCAUGCUCUCCCCAUGGUACUCUGGGUACUCUGGUUUCCUCCCCUAGUCCAAGGAUAUGCAUUGCUGAUUGUGCGAUUGUGCCCUCUGAUGGGUUGGCACUCCAUCCCGGGUGUCCCCUGACUUGUGCCCUGAGUCCCCUGGGAUAGACUCUAGGAUCACUGUUACUGUGUGUAGGAUAAACGGUACAGAAAAUAGAUAGAUGGAUGGAAAAAAUAAAUAAAUAAAUAAAAUUGGGCAUGCUUUAAUUUAAAGUGCAUUAAAUCUACAGUCUUAAAAAUAAACAUGGCUCCCAAGUAGUGCAACAGAAAAGCAUUAGUGUAAUUGUCUGGAGCUUGCGAUCUCGAAUCCAGCUAUCUGUGACUGGGAGCUGAGCACAAGAGAGCAGACAUGUUCACAAGUCCCUGAGGUCCAAGCCCAAGUCAGGUCUCAAAUCUUUGUUCUGUUUUUAGAAAUAGUUCUUUCAGCUAGUAAUUAACAGUGUAUGAGGCUAAAUCAAUUUUGAAAUAUUAAAACUGAUUACGUCUACAGAAUGUCUUGUUCAUUUAUUCAAAAUUGUCUAAUAAGCACACAAGGUUUUACUUAGAUCAUUCAUUCAAAAUUAUACCAUUAAUCAAAAAACUAUUACUUUCAAAUGAUUACAUUUGAUUUAAAAGUUAUCCCUAUAAUUACAAGAAAACAGAACAUUCAUAGAAAAUUCAGGAAAGAUAUUACUGCCAACGUGCUGUGUGUUUUGAGCUAUUUGAGUUGCCGUAGUUUGCUGUAGUUCUCAAGCAAUGGUGGGUAAGGUAGUCUUCCAGUGAGUGCCGGCGGUAACAAAACCCAAGUUUGUAGAUGUAAUAAAACUUGGUAAACUUGGAUAUUAUAUGCAUACGAUAGCUAAUACUUGUGUGUGUGGGGUGG
Ictalurus punctatus (channel catfish) is the source of this 5456-nucleotide long non-coding RNA. Lineage: Eukaryota; Metazoa; Chordata; Actinopteri; Siluriformes; Ictaluridae. The record is from Ensembl.